UUAGCCAGUAGUGGUGGUGCAUGCCUGUAACCCCAGCUAUUAUGGAGGCUGAGGUAGAAGAAUGACUUGAACCUGGGAAGCAGAGGCUGCAGUGAGCCAAGAUUGCAUCACUACGCUCUAGCCUGGGUGACACGGUGAGACUCUGUCUCAAAAGAGAGAGAGAAAAAGAAAAGAAUAGGAAUGUAGGACUCAGCAACUAGACCAUUCCCAACCUCCUUCUCUGUGAGGCCCUUCUCCUUGAGUGAGAAAACACUGAAUGAGCUGAUGUCUAAGGAUGCUUUGAGCCCUGUCAUUUUAGAAAUCAAUACAUACUUCCGGGAACUGGAGGAUUUAGUUUGGGAAAGUAAAGGUUCCUUGCACUGUGACUAGCUCACCCUGUCACCUUGCUUAAGCACCUUGCCCACUCUAGACCUCAGUUUUCCCAUCUAGAAACUGGAAGCACUGGACUUGGUUGUCCAAGUCCUUCUAGCUUUGAAACUCUAGGCCUCUGCCCUGGUAAGGUUGUGGGAAAAGAAGACCCAGGGAGGCGUAUAUGGGGGCAAGGGGUCAGGGACAGCAAGAAUAAGGUGAUUUUCAGAGAUUCUAUCCAGGAACAAUCCAAGAAGCAACUCAGGUAGGACUGAGGGUUGUAUGAAGCAAUAAGACUCCACAUUCAAAUCAAUUAAAGAGGUCAUGGCCACAGUUUCUGUGUUAGAAAGAAUAGGAGGAGAACUAGGGAAUUGUAUUAUGUGGGACUGUAUUUCGUGGGAUAGAUGGAUAGAUAGACAGACGGGUGGACAGAUGGGUAGAUGGAUAGAUGAAUGGAUUAACAGAUGAACAGAUGGAUAGAUGGAUAAGUGGAUAGAAGCUUGGGUGGACAUAUGGAUGAAUUGGAUGGAUGGAUGGAUGGAUGGAUGGAUGGAUGGACAGAUGGAUGAAAGCUUGGGUGGAUGAAUAGAUGGAUAGACAGCUGAAUGAAAGUUUGGGUAGAAGAAUGGAUAGACAGAUGAAUGGAAGGUUGGGUGGAUAAGUAGAUGAAUGGACAGGUGAAUGGAAGGUUGGGUGGACAGAUGGCUGAAUGAAUGGGUGGAUGGAUAGAUAAAUGGACAAUGAAUGGAUGGACAGGCAGGUAGAUGGAGGAAAGGAUGGGGAAUGUUUAGGAAAGUGGUUUGGUGGAGAGAGUGGGUACAUAUAUUUGGCAGGUGGGAAGAUGCUCAGAUAGAGGGGCAGGCAGAUACAAGUGGGUAAGUAGAUGGGUUUGUGAAUGGGCAGGCAGAUAAACAGAAAGGUCAGUGGGUGUAUGGGCAGGCAGGUGUAUGCCCAGGUGAUUGGAUGGGUGGAUGAGUGGAUGAGUAGGUUUUACAAUGUAAGGGAGUGAGAGGACAAAACUUGACUGAUUGAUUGAUUGGCUUGUUCGUUUUCUUAGCUAUUACCUCAUUUCCUCUUCCAUAUCCUACUCCUAUUCAGCCAGACACCUGAAAAGUUUACAGCAAGUUUCUCUAUGUGUGGAAAUUGUACCAUUUAUAAGAUUAUUUGGCCUGGUGCGGUGGCUUAUGCCUGUAAUCCCAGCACUUUGGGAGGCCGAGGAGGGCGGAUCACUUGAGGUUAGGAGUUUGAGACCAGCCUGGCUCACGUGGCGAAAUCCCAUCUCUACUAAAAAUACAAAAAUUAGCUGGGUGUGGUGGCGCGUGCCUGUAAUCCCAGCUACUCAGGAGGCUGAGACAGGAGAAUUGCUUGAAUGCAGGAGGCAGAGGUUACAGUGAGCUGAGAUUGUGCCACUGCACUCUAGCCUGGGUGACAGAGCAAGACUCCCUCUCAAAAAAAAAUUAUUUUAUGUAAUUACUGAAAUACAGUAAUCUUAGAAAGAACCGAGACAGAAAGUUCCAUCUGGUGCUACCAUGUCUUUAACACUUUGUUGACACUUGUGAUUCUCCCUUUUUAAAAAGAGAAAGUAGACUGUAAA
Molecule: long non-coding RNA, 1942 nt
Filed under: Homo sapiens (human)
Lineage: Eukaryota; Metazoa; Chordata; Mammalia; Primates; Hominidae
Description: HSALNT0290908
Source: RNAcentral